CCUACGGGUGGCUGCAGUGAGGAAUAUUGGUCAAUGGGCGAGAGCCUGAACCAGCCAAGUCGCGUGAAGGAUGACGGCCCUACGGGUUGUAAACUUCUUUUGUCAGGGAGCAAACUGGUCCACGCGUGGGCUUCUCGAGAGUACCUGCAGAUAAAGCAUCGGCAAACCCCGUGCCAGCAGCCGCGGUAAUCCGGAGGAUGCGAGCGUUAUCGGGAUUUUUUGGGUUUAAGGGGUGCGUAGGCGGUCCGGAAAGUCAGCGGUAAAAGCCCGGGGCUAAACCCCGGCGAGCCGUUGAAACUGUCGGACUAGAGACGGCGAGAGGUACGCGGAAUGCGCGGUGUAGCGGUGAAAUGCAUAGAUAUCGCGCAGAACUCCGAUUGCGAAGGCAGCGUACCGGAGCCGGACUGACGCUGAGGCACGAAAGCGUGGGUAUCGAACAGGAUUAGAUACCCCAGUAGUC
This 460-nucleotide ribosomal RNA is filed under the name uncultured bacterium. Its description in RNAcentral is "partial 16S ribosomal RNA". It matches the Rfam family "Bacterial small subunit ribosomal RNA", at positions 338 to 795 of the family's 1533-position model. The record is from RNAcentral.